UCGUCUUAAUUAACAAAACAAAACCUUUAUAACUAAUUCUAAAACAAGAAAUUCUUAAAACUUUCAACAACGGAUCUCUUGGUUCUCGCAUCGAUGAAGAACGCAGCGAAAUGCGAUACGUAAUACGAAUCGCAGCUCUCGGAAUCAUCGAAUCUUUGAACGCACAUUGCACCAAGGGGUAUUCCCCUUGGUAUGCCUGUUUGAGCGAAGGAUUCUCCUAAUCCUUUUGGAUUGUAUUGUCAUCGAAAAUCAUUAAAAGAACUUUAUACAACUUAUUGUUCUAUUAAAACCAUUUUCCUCAAAUCAGGUAGGACUACCCGCUGAACUUAAGCAUAUCAAUAAGCGGAGGA
This 350-nucleotide ribosomal RNA is filed under the name [Candida] smagusa. Its description in RNAcentral is "eukaryotic LSU rRNA". The stretch from base 59 to 210 matches the Rfam family "5.8S ribosomal RNA". Lineage: Eukaryota; Fungi; Ascomycota; Pichiomycetes; Serinales; Debaryomycetaceae. The record is from RNAcentral.